UAGAGUUUGAUCAUGGCUCAGAUUGAACGCUGGCGGCAGGCCUAACACAUGCAAGUCGAGCGGAUGAGGGGUGCUUGCACUCUGAUUCAGCGGCGGACGGGUGAGUAAUGCCUAGGAAUCUGCCCGAUAGUGGGGGACAACGUUUCGAAAGGAACGCUAAUACCGCAUACGUCCUACGGGAGAAAGUGGGGGAUCUUCGGACCUCACGCUAUCGGAUGAGCCUAGGUCGGAUUAGCUAGUUGGUGAGGUAAUGGCUCACCAAGGCGACGAUCCGUAACUGGUCUGAGAGGAUGAUCAGUCACACUGGAACUGAGACACGGUCCAGACUCCUACGGGAGGCAGCAGUGGGGAAUAUUGGACAAUGGGCGAAAGCCUGAUCCAGCCAUGCCGCGUGUGUGAAGAAGGUCUUCGGAUUGUAAAGCACUUUAAGUUGGGAGGAAGGGCUGUCGGCUAAUACCCUGCAGUUUUGACGUUACCAACAGAAUAAGCACCGGCUAACUUCGUGCCAGCAGCCGCGGUAAUACGAAGGGUGCAAGCGUUAAUCGGAAUUACUGGGCGUAAAGCGCGCGUAGUGGUUCACAAGUUGGAUGUGAAAGCCCCGGGCUCACCUGGGAACUGCUCCAAACUACCGAGCUAAAUACGGU
This 644-nucleotide ribosomal RNA is filed under the name uncultured Pseudomonas sp. RNAcentral describes it as "bacterial SSU rRNA". It matches the Rfam family "Bacterial small subunit ribosomal RNA", at positions 1 to 651 of the family's 1533-position model. Lineage: Bacteria; Pseudomonadati; Pseudomonadota; Gammaproteobacteria; Pseudomonadales; Pseudomonadaceae. The record is from RNAcentral.